AUACGGAGGACGCGAGCGUUAUCCGGAUUCAUUGGGUUUAAAGGGUGCGCAGGCGGCCGUGCAAGUCAGCGGUGAAAGCCCGGGGCUCAACCCCGGAAGUGCCGUUGAUACUGCAUGGCUGGAAUGCGGUCGAGGCGGGCGGAACGUGGCGUGUCGCGGGGAAAUGCGUAGAUAUGCCACAGAACGCCGAUAGCGGGGGCAGCUCGCCAGGCCUGCAUUGACGCUCGGGCACGAAAGCGGGGGGAUCGAACAGGAUUAGAUACCCUGGUAGUCCACGCCGUAAACGAUGGGCGCUCGUCGUCGGCGGCAGACAGUCGGCGGCCAAGCGAAAGCGAUAAGCGCCCCACCUGGGGAGUACGGUCGCAAGGCUGAAACUCAAAUGAAUUGACGGGG
Molecule: ribosomal RNA, 393 nt
Filed under: uncultured bacterium
Lineage: Bacteria
Description: partial 16S ribosomal RNA
Rfam family: Bacterial small subunit ribosomal RNA
Source: RNAcentral